This 253-nucleotide ribosomal RNA is filed under the name uncultured bacterium. RNAcentral describes it as "partial 16S ribosomal RNA". It matches the Rfam family "Bacterial small subunit ribosomal RNA", at positions 524 to 776 of the family's 1533-position model. The record is from RNAcentral.
UACGUAGGUGGCGAGCGUUGUCCGGAUUUACUGGGCGUAAAGGGAGCGUAGGCGGACUUUUAAGUGAGAUGUGAAAUACUCGGGCUCAACUUGAGUGCUGCAUUUCGAACUGGAAGUCUAGAGUGCAGGAGAGGAGAAUGGAAUUCCUAGUGUAGCGGUGAAAUGCGUAGAGAUUAGGAAGAACACCAGUGGCGAAGGCGAUUCUCUGGACUGUAACUGACGCUGAGGCUCGAAAGCGUGGGGAGCAAACAGG